CGCCCUCCGGAGACGCAGCCCGGUAGUCUUUAUGCUCCGCCGCCGCCGCCGCCGCCGCCUCUCCCCCGGAGCCGACGGCCUUUUUCCCUAGUCCGCGCUCCGCGGUCAUUCCUCGGACGUGCUCCGCGGCCUUCGCCUACGGCCAUGCCUCAAGCGGCCUUGUCGAAGCGCGGUCCCUGCAGUCCCCAAGGCUGUCAGUCCUGGUCCCGGCCCCACCCACAGGCUUUUUUUUGAUCUAGCACACCCUGCUUGGGUUCCCACCCUAGGCUCUGGGCGACUCGGCCUCACCCCAUCCACUGGACAUUUUCCCUUGUUUCCCCAUAUUCGCUUAUUUCAGGCCUUCGACUUUUUUUUUUUUUUUUUUUCCUGGCCGAAGCUUCCAUAAGGAAUGCUAGAACAUUUUCUCGGAAAGCGAGCCCUGAUGCUGGACUGCAAGUAAGUUUCAGAGGAUUCUACAAAGCUGCCAAUUAAUCCUUCAAUCUCCCCAGACAUCACUGAGUGGAAGCUGACUGUGCCCUGUAUGCUGACUUAGAGAAUCCACGGCGUAAUGAGUGUUUGAUGCUACUCAACUUUGGGGGCAGCUAGUUACCCAGCCGUCCUGUCAAGCGGGUAAUCCCCACCUGUCUCAACUGAAGUCUCACACAGCCUCCUAGUCCCCAUUCUCACCUUGAUCAGGAUGUUAUAAACAGCUUUCAUUGUGCCUUGUGUCUAAACAGCGACUUUAAAAGGCUGAAAACACAAUUUACCUUGUUUCUGACAUAGACAACUCCCUCAUAGAAACCCACCCCAUUGCUCUUCAUAAACACACAUAUGGAAACCAACCCUGAAUCCUUAAACCCAGCACUCAGGAAGCAGAGGCUCUUCCUGCUCUGUGAAUUCAAGGCCAGCCUGGUCUACAAAGCUAUACCAGGGCAGCCAAGGCUACACAGAGAAUCCCUGACUCCAAGAGGAAAAAAAAAACAAAAACCUUGAAAAAUCUUUCAACAUACAUUUUUGUUUUGAGGGAGUUUCACUGUGUGCCCUUGGCUGGCCUGCAUUUCUAGAUGUAGAUCAGGUUGUUUUUGAAACCACCCGCCUCUGCUGGGAUUAUGGGCGUGUGUGACCGUGCCCAGCUAGCAAACAUCUCCUUAACUAGAAUUCAGUGAGUUUUUCUUCUGAGUAAGCCACCGCUGCCGUGAGAGAAUGCCCUCCGUGGCUCGGAUGUUCGAACACUUGGCCUCUAGUUGUUGGAACUACUUGGGAACAACUGGGUGCGAUCUUGGAGGAGGAGGUGUGGCUGGGGGCAGGCUUUGAGGUUUCAAAGGACUCCCAUUUCCAGCGUCUGUCUCUACCUUGUGGUGGUGUGACCUCUCAGCACUGCCCCAGUGCCAGGCCUGCCUCUGUGCUCCCCGCCAGGACAGUCAGGGACUCCAACUCUCUGAAACUGUAAGCCCAAAAUAAAUAUCUUCUCUUGUAA
Molecule: long non-coding RNA, 1456 nt
Organism: Meriones unguiculatus (Mongolian gerbil)
Lineage: Eukaryota; Metazoa; Chordata; Mammalia; Rodentia; Muridae
Exons: 2
Source: RefSeq, a predicted model, not a curated record